Molecule: ribosomal RNA, 371 nt
Filed under: uncultured organism
Description: bacterial SSU rRNA
Rfam family: Bacterial small subunit ribosomal RNA
Source: RNAcentral
CGUAGGGUGCAAGCGUUAAUCGGAAUUACUGGGCGUAAAGCGUGCGCAGGCGGUUUUGUAAGUCUGUCGUGAAAUCCCCGGGCUCAACCUGGGAAUUACGAUGGAGACUGCAAGGCUAGAAUCUGGCAGAGGGGGGUAGAAUUCCACGUGUAGCAGUGAAAUGCGUAGAGAUGUGGAGGAACACCGAUGGCGAAGGCAGCCCCCUGGGUCAAGAUUGACGCUCAUGCACGAAAGCGUGGGGAGCAAACAGGAUUAGAUACCCUGGUAGUCCACGCCCUAAACGAUGUCUACUAGUUGUCGGGUUUUAAUUAACUUGGUAACGCAGCUAACGCGUGAAGUAGACCGCCUGGGGAGUACGGUCGCAAGAUUAA